UGGGGAAUUUUGGACAAUGGGCGCAAGCCUGAUCCAGCCAUGCCGCGUGCGGGAAGAAGGCCUUCGGGCUGUAAACCGCUUUUGUCAGGGAAGAAAUCUUCUGAGUUAAUACCUCGGGAGGAUGACGGUACCUGAAGAAUAAGCACCGGCUAACUACGUGCCAGCAGCCGCGGUAAUACGUAGGGUGCAAGCGUUAAUCGGAAUUACUGGGCGUAAAGCGUGCGCAGGCGGUUUUGUAAGACAGAGGUGAAAUCCCCGGGCUCAACCUGGGAACUGCCUUUGUGACUGCAAGGCUUGAGUGCGGCAGAGGGGGAUGGAAUUCCGCGUGUAGCAGUGAAAUGCGUAGAUAUGCGGAGGAACACCGAUGGCGAAGGCAAUCCCCUGGGCCUGCACUGACGCUCAUGCACGAAAGCGUGGGGAGCAAACAGGAUUAGAUACCCUGGUAGUCCACGCCCUAAACGAUGUCAACUGGUUGUUGGGAAGGUUCCUUCUCAGUAACGUAGCUAACGCGUGAAGUUGACCGCCUGGGGAGUACGGCCGCAAGGUUGAAAC
This 552-nucleotide ribosomal RNA is filed under the name uncultured bacterium. RNAcentral's name for it is "partial 16S ribosomal RNA". It matches the Rfam family "Bacterial small subunit ribosomal RNA", at positions 355 to 900 of the family's 1533-position model. The record is from RNAcentral.